GUGACUCUUUAAACGGCCGCGGUAUCCUAACCGUGCAAAGGUAGCAUAAUCACUUGUCCCCUAAAUAGGGACUAGAAUGAACGGCUAAAUGAGGACAAAACUGUCUCUUACGGACCAACCAAUGAAAUUGAUCUUCCAGUACAAAAGCUGGAAUAAGCCCAUAAGACGAGAAGACCCUGUGGAGCUUUAAAACCAAAACCACCAAACAUGUUUCUUGGUUUUUUAGUUGGGGCGACUUUGGAGAAAAAAUAAUCCUCCAAACUAUAAACCCAUUUAUUAAGAAUAACACACCAAAAAUAAUUAAAUAGACCCAGCAACAUUAUGUUGUCUGACCAAUGAACCAAGUUACCCCAGGGAUAACAGCGCCAUCCUCUUCUAGAGUCCCUAUCGACAAGGGGGUUUACGACCUCGAUGUUGGAUCAGGACACCCCUAUAGUGCAGCCGCUUUAAAAGGUUCGUUUGUUCAACGAUUAAAGUCCUACGUGAUCU
RNAcentral lists this ribosomal RNA (489 nucleotides) under Podarcis vaucheri. Its description in RNAcentral is "partial 16S ribosomal RNA". It matches the Rfam family "Bacterial large subunit ribosomal RNA", at positions 1915 to 2606 of the family's 2925-position model. Lineage: Eukaryota; Metazoa; Chordata; Lepidosauria; Squamata; Lacertidae. The record is from RNAcentral.